UCGUAAUCAAUAAUUAAACGCAGAAAACAUUAAAGUUGAUCCCGCUCUUCGUGGCCUGUGAGAGGCUGCACUGCUCUUCAUCUUCCUGUUUGUCCCCCCAGGUCUCGUUGCUGUCCUCCCAGGCGAGACUCAAAAGCAACACACCUUGUGAACAUGAGCAGCCAAGCAUCAGAGCGGUACUUCACAGGCCGUCCUCCUCCCCGUUCUCUCAAGGGCCCCAACAUAAUGCGGUCCUCUCCUCUGGUCCCAGCCUCCUCCCCCAAGUACACCCACUGCACAGGAGCACAGGAGAUGAACUCACCAGACAGGUGCCAUACUGCUCACCAGAAUGACAAUUUGCCUUUUGGAAAUCAGCCUCUGGCUCCAUUGUGUUCCCUGAAAUUGAGUUAGCCCAUCAGCAGACACUCAACAGCUCCCUCCUGUCCCCUCCC
Molecule: long non-coding RNA, 431 nt
Organism: Oreochromis aureus
Lineage: Eukaryota; Metazoa; Chordata; Actinopteri; Cichliformes; Cichlidae
Exons: 3
Source: RefSeq, a predicted model, not a curated record